GAUGAACGCUGGCGGCGUGCCUAAUACAUGCAAGUCGAGCGAACAGACGAGGAGCUUGCUCCUCUGACGUUAGCGGCGGACGGGCGAGUAACACGUGGAUAACCUGCCUAUAAGACUGGGAUAACUUCGGGAAACCGGAGCCAAUACCGGAUAAUAUAUUGAACCGCAUGGAUCAAUAGUGAAAGACGGUUUUGCUGUCACUUAUAGAUGGAUCCGCGCUGGAUUAGCUAGGUGGUAAGGUAACGGCUUACCAAGGAGACGAUCCGUAGCCGACCUGAGGGGGUGAUCAGCCACACUGGAACUGAGACACGGUCCAGACUCCUACGGGAGGCAGCAGUGGGGAAUCUUCCACAAUGGGCGAAAGCCUGACCGAGCAACGCCGCGUGAGUGAUGAAGGUCUUCGGAUCGUAAAACUCUGUUGUUGGGAAAGAAAAAAUGUAUAAGAAACUCUGCACGUCUUGACGGUACCUAAUCAAAAAGCAACGGCUAACUUCGUG
RNAcentral lists this ribosomal RNA (497 nucleotides) under uncultured bacterium. RNAcentral's name for it is "partial 16S ribosomal RNA". It matches the Rfam family "Bacterial small subunit ribosomal RNA", at positions 28 to 507 of the family's 1533-position model. The record is from RNAcentral.